AUUACGAGCAAUGCUUAAAACCCAAAGGAUUUGACGGUGUCCCACCCCACUAGAGGAGCCUGUUCUAUAAUCGAUGAUCCCCGCUUCACCUAACCAUUCCUCGCCUACCAGUCUGUAUACCUCCGUCGAAAGCUUACCAUGUGAACGCCCGCAGUAAGCUUAAUGAUUUCACCAUCAACACGUCAGGUCAAGGUGCAGCUUAAGGGAUGGAAAGUAAUGGGCUACAAUUUCUAAUCUAGAACAAACGAAAGACUAUGUGAAACCCUAGUCAUGAAGGUGGAUUUAGUAGUAAAAAGAAAACAGAGUGUUCUUUUUAACCCGGCUCUGGGACGCGUACACACCGCCCGUCACCCUCUUCAAUAGUACCCCGUAUGUUCCUAACCCAACACCACGUUUUAGAAGAGGCAAGUCGUAACAUGGUAAGUGUACUGGAAAGUGCACUUGGUAUACUA
This 452-nucleotide ribosomal RNA is filed under the name Rana temporaria (common frog). Its description in RNAcentral is "partial 12S ribosomal RNA". It matches the Rfam family "Bacterial small subunit ribosomal RNA", at positions 879 to 1533 of the family's 1533-position model. The record is from RNAcentral. Lineage: Eukaryota; Metazoa; Chordata; Amphibia; Anura; Ranidae.